AGAGUUUGAUCCUGGCUCAGGAUGAACGCUGGCGGCGUGCUUAACACAUGCAAGUCGAACGGGGUUAUCAUUUUUGAAGCGAUUAGCUUGCUAAGAGUGGAAAAGCUGAUAACUUAGUGGCGGACGGGUGAGUAACGCGUGGGUAACCUGCCUUACACAGGGGGAUAACACUUAGAAAUAGGUGCUAAUACCGCAUAAGCGCACAGUCCCGCAUGGGACAGAGUGAAAAACAUUAGUGGUGUAAGAUGGACCCGCGUCUGAUUAGCUUGUUGGCGGGGUAACGGCCCACCAAGGCGACGAUCAGUAGCCGGCCUGAGAGGGUGGACGGCCACAUUGGGACUGAGACACGGCCCAAACUCCUACGGGAGGCAGCAGUGGGGAUAUUGGACAAUGGGGGAAACCCUGAUCCAGCGACGCCGCGUGAGUGAAGAAGUAUUUCGGUAUGUAAAGCUCUAUCAGCAGGGAAGAAAGAAAUGACGGUACCUGAGUAAGAAGCCCCGGCUAACUACGUG
RNAcentral lists this ribosomal RNA (512 nucleotides) under uncultured Lachnospiraceae bacterium. Its description in RNAcentral is "bacterial SSU rRNA". It matches the Rfam family "Bacterial small subunit ribosomal RNA", at positions 8 to 507 of the family's 1533-position model. The record is from RNAcentral. Lineage: Bacteria; Bacillati; Bacillota; Clostridia; Lachnospirales; Lachnospiraceae.